This 557-nucleotide ribosomal RNA is filed under the name Acinetobacter johnsonii. RNAcentral describes it as "bacterial SSU rRNA". It matches the Rfam family "Bacterial small subunit ribosomal RNA", at positions 73 to 624 of the family's 1533-position model. The record is from RNAcentral. Lineage: Bacteria; Pseudomonadati; Pseudomonadota; Gammaproteobacteria; Moraxellales; Moraxellaceae.
GGGUAGCUUGCUACCUGACCUAGCGGCGGACGGGUGAGUAAUGCUUAGGAAUCUGCCUAUUAGUGGGGGACAACAUUCCGAAAGGAAUGCUAAUACCGCAUACGCCCUACGGGGGAAAGCAGGGGAUCUUCGGACCUUGCGCUAAUAGAUGAGCCUAAGUCAGAUUAACUAGUUGGUGGGGUAAAGGCCUACCAAGGCGACGAUCUGUAGCGGGUCUGAGAGGAUGAUCCGCCACACUGGGACUGAGACACGGCCCAGACUCCUACGGGAGGCAGCAGUGGGGAAUAUUGGACAAUGGGCGAAAGCCUGAUCCAGCCAUGCCGCGUGUGUGAAGAAGGCCUUUUGGUUGUAAAGCACUUUAAGCGAGGAGGAGGCUACCGAGAUUAAUACUCUUGGAUAGUGGACGUUACUCGCAGAAUAAGCACCGGCUAACUCUGUGCCAGCAGCCGCGGUAAUACUUAUCUUUGCGAGCGUUAAUCGGAUUUACUGGGUGUAUAUCGUGCGCAGGCGGCUUUUUAAGUCGGAUGUGAAAUCCCUGAGCUUAACUUAGGAAUUGC